This 449-nucleotide ribosomal RNA is filed under the name uncultured bacterium. Its description in RNAcentral is "partial 16S ribosomal RNA". It matches the Rfam family "Bacterial small subunit ribosomal RNA", at positions 29 to 523 of the family's 1533-position model. The record is from RNAcentral.
AACGAACGCUGGCGGCAGGCCUAACACAUGCAAGUCGAACGCCCUAGCAAUAGGGAGUGGCGCACGGGUGAGUAACGCGUGGGAACGUGCCUUUCAGUCUGGAAUAACAGCGGGAAACUGCUGCUAAUACCGGAUAUUCUCUACGGAGGAAAGAUUUAUCGCUGAAAGAUCGGCCCGCGUAAGAUUAGGUAGUUGGUAGGGUAAUGGCCUACCAAGCCUACGAUCUUUAGCUGGUCUGAGAGGAUGAUCAGCCACACUGGAACUGAGACACGGUCCAGACUCCUACGGGAGGCAGCAGUGGGGAAUAUUGGACAGUGGGCGCAAGCCUGAUCCAGCCAUGCCGCGUGAGUGACGAAGGCCUUAGGGUUGUAAAGCUCUUUUAUCAGGGACGAUGAUGACGGUACCUGAAGAAUAAGACACGGCUAACUUCGUGCCAGCAGCCGCCGUAA